AAAAAAAAAAAAAAAAAGGAUCUAUUCAUCUUUCCCUGUAUUAUAUUUGCCAUUGUUGCACGUCAUCGUUUUUACCAAUUUUUUUUUUGUGGCAAUGCAAUUUUAUUUGUCAAAAUUCAUCAUCAAUGAGAAAAAUGCAUCAUAUGGAACAGAUAUAAUUAGGUUGAUCCCAAAACACAUUCAAAGUAAGGAAGUACAAGAAAUUGUAAUCACCAAUGGUAGUAUGACAGUUUUCUUAAUUAGCCAGCAAUUAAGAAAGGCAUGUUGCUACCCACUUUGUCUGAUAGAAAAUCACAGACUAAGUUGUUGAUUUUAACCUUCCAUCCAAUUUGUAAUUCAUUUCUAACUAUUGUUUUAGGGCCAGAGUUUGUAUGCUAUCUCCUUCCUCAAAAUGUGAUUUAUGUAAAUUCAAAGCAGAUGUAGCCAAAGGCAGAGAAAAGGCCUGACAAUUACAGUAGUAUGGUUAAGAAAAGCAACUGAGGAAAAUAAGGAAAGGGAGAACAUCUUUUAAUAGAUAACAGAAAUGUUCUACCCAUCAGUUAUUCUACUUACCAUUUUUGAGGUAAUCAAACCAAAAAUUUAAGAAUUAAUAACCAAAUAGCCAAAUUUUAUCAGUUUGAUUCACUUGUAACAGAAGAAUGCACACUCCUACAGGUAUGGACGGGGAGAUCUGAGUUUUAACAUACUCUUCAAAUGCAGACUGAAUUUAAAAAUCAAGCACCAUGAAAGCAUAUUGUUCCUGAGGUUGCACAUGAGGAAACCAUAUAGGAGGCAAGUGCGACAGUUAUGUAUUGACCAUUAUUGAACAAAUGCAUAAAAACUAUGGAAGCCACCCUUGCCUUGCAUCCUUUACUUAGAGAAGAACCUUUCCCUUGAAAUAAACGACUGCUCAUACAUGCACGCAAGCCCUGGGGACAAAUUCACAUAAUGCCAAGCAAACUCAUUUCAUAGCCGUAUACUCAAAUUUUAUAAAUCUCUAUCUUUCUUAACAGUACACCUUAACUAUCUUCUUGAUGAAUUCAUUCCCCCUAUUAAAGUUGUUGAUAUACGUUAUUCUAUGGACAUUUUUAGGUGUGUCCCUCUUAUUAAAAUCAAAAUUGCCAUAUUACUAAACUAUUGGAUCAAGAGAUUAUAGUUGCUUCCUGUACUCGUAACACAAUCUUUCAUUUCAGAAAACGCAAUCACAUAUACAUUAAUGCAAAAUCGUUAUGUUGCAAGCAUCUGGAAACAAAUCCAUCUUGUGCUAAACUUGCUAUUUUUCCUGUAAAGUCGACCAAACUCCAACAUGCCAAUCUUUCUUGUCCACUGAACUCAAAAUCGACUAUCUUCUUCUCAAAUUUAUCGCCCUUAUUAUUUUCCUUGUAAGAAGGAUUAUUCCAUAUUUUACUCGGGUCUUCUCCUCGAAUUAAGAGCAACUUACUAAUUGUAUUCAAAUCCAUUAUUGUUCAGACACUUUCACUAAAAGGAAUUAAUAUAAAUUAUCAAUUCUCACAACCUUUAAAACACAGCAACACUUCUCUCUAACCAAGACCGAUUUAAAAGGCAAAUCUUCCAGCUUCCACCUUAAGAAAACCCCAUCAUCAAUAUAAAAUCCAAGGAAGAGACAAAAAGGCAAAUCCGAAAUAUAAAUUUUAACUCCUAAAAAAAUCAGAAAAGUUCAAACACAUGCCAUGAUCUAUUCUUGAAAUUUUCGAUAAAAGGUAUGUAUAAAAAUCAAUUCUUUGAUGAAGCAAUAUCAAAAUAGUGAAUUGGGUUUCGUUUUAAAAUCAUAAACUGAAAGAAAUUCAUCUAUUACAAGCACGAAAUAACUUCUGAAACUGCAACCCAGGAAAGGCCAAACCCCUCUUUAAAAAUUUAUUUUUCCUAUAUUGUACUAAACAAAGCAUAAGUAACAUUGGGAUGCAGGCAGCCUAAGAGCCCAAAUGUCGAA
RNAcentral lists this unclassified non-coding RNA (1930 nucleotides) under Hevea brasiliensis (rubber tree). The record is from RNAcentral. Lineage: Eukaryota; Viridiplantae; Streptophyta; Magnoliopsida; Malpighiales; Euphorbiaceae.